CAACUUUCAGCAGUGGAUGUCUAGGCUCGCACAUCGAUGAAGAACGCUGCGAACUGCGAUACGUAAUGCGAAUUGCAGGAUUCAGUGAGUCAUCGAAAUUUUGAACGCAUAUUGCACUUCCGGGUUAGUCCUGGGAGUAUGCCUGUAUCAGUGUCCGUACAUCAAACUUGGCUUUCUUCCUUCCGUGUAGUCGGUGGAGGAUGUGCCAGACGUGAAGUGUCUUGCGGGUGUCCUUCGGGUCGUCUGCGAGUCCUUUGAAAUGUACUGAACUGUACUUCUCUUUGCUCGAAAAGCGUGGUGUUGCUGGUUGUGGAGGCUGCCUGCGUGGCCAGUCGGCGACCGGUUUGUCUGCUGCGGCGUUUAAUGGAGGAGUGUUCGAUU
Molecule: ribosomal RNA, 381 nt
Filed under: Phytophthora plurivora
Lineage: Eukaryota; Oomycota; Peronosporomycetes; Peronosporales; Peronosporaceae
Description: 5.8S ribosomal RNA
Rfam family: 5.8S ribosomal RNA (bases 2-156)
Source: RNAcentral